Molecule: long non-coding RNA, 698 nt
Filed under: Pongo abelii (Sumatran orangutan)
Lineage: Eukaryota; Metazoa; Chordata; Mammalia; Primates; Hominidae
Description: lincRNA
Source: RNAcentral
CUAUCUUAGAACGGAUCACCAGUGAAAGAGGGGAAGUUGCUACUGUGAUGAAUUCUGCCAUGUGGUACCAGACUGCUGCCCAGACCACAGUGUCCUCUGCAACCCUGCUUCUCAGAUGACCAAGAUGGUGCUGCCGAUGGUGUUGAGGACGGAGAACCCACCAAGCCCCGUUAGGAGCCACCUAGACUGGAUGCAGAGCACAAAGGAAGGCAAGAUUUCCUGGGUCCGUGAUGAUGGAAGGCUGACAACUCUUUUAUGGAUUUUGAGCUUGCUCCCAGUAGGGAAGACAAGUUCAAGUUUUUUUCCUGCUUCAAGGAUGGUGGAGAGCAGUCUUCAGCCUGAGACCCAUCCCUAGGCCUCAGCACCCGCAGAGCAGACACUGCGAUAACAACGGAGGACACAGAAGUGCCCGCUAUGACUCCAGCACCAGGCCACGCCGCUCUGGAAACUCAAACGCUGAGCGCUGAGACCUCUUCUAGGGCCUCAACCCCAGCCGGCCCCAUUCCAGAAGCAGAGACCAGAGAAGCCAAGAGAAUUUCCCCUGCAAGAGAGACCAGGACUUUCACAAAAACACCUCCCGACUUCAGGGUGCUGAUCGCCACCUCUGUGGAGACAUCAGCCGCCAGUGGCAGCCCCGAGGGAGCUGGAAUGACCACAGUUCAGACUGUCACAGGCAGUGAUCCAGAGGAAGCCAUCUC